AGAAUCAACGCUGGCGGCGUGCCUAACACAUGCAAGUCGAACGAGAAAGUGGAGCAAUCCAUGAGUAAAGUGGCGCACGGGUGAGUAACACGUGACUAACCUACCCUUGAGUGGGGAAUAACCUAGGGAAACCUGGGCUAAUACCGCAUAGCACCUACGGGUCAAAGGAGCAAUUCGCUUAAGGAGGGGGUCGCGGCAGAUUAGCUAGUUGGCGGGGUAAUGGCCCACCAAGGCAGUGAUCUGUAUCCGGCCUGAGAGGGCGCACGGACACACUGGAACUGAAACACGGUCCAGACUCCUACGGGAGGCAGCAGUGGGGAAUUUUGCGCAAUGGGGGAAACCCUGACGCAGCAACGCCGCGUGGAGGAUGAAGUCCCUUGGGACGUAAACUCCUUUCGACCGGGAAGAUUAUGACGGUACCGGAAGAAGAAGCCCCGGCUAACUUCGUGCCAGCAGCCGC
RNAcentral lists this ribosomal RNA (460 nucleotides) under uncultured bacterium. RNAcentral's name for it is "SSU rRNA". It matches the Rfam family "Bacterial small subunit ribosomal RNA", at positions 26 to 518 of the family's 1533-position model. The record is from RNAcentral.